AGGCAUAGGGAGGAGACG
This 18-nucleotide unclassified non-coding RNA is filed under the name Mus musculus (house mouse). Its description in RNAcentral is "oocyte_clustered_small_RNA801". Lineage: Eukaryota; Metazoa; Chordata; Mammalia; Rodentia; Muridae. The record is from RNAcentral.